This 468-nucleotide ribosomal RNA is filed under the name uncultured bacterium. RNAcentral's name for it is "partial 16S ribosomal RNA". It matches the Rfam family "Bacterial small subunit ribosomal RNA", at positions 28 to 507 of the family's 1533-position model. The record is from RNAcentral.
GACGAACGCUGGCGGCGUGCUUAACACAUGCAAGUCGAACGGAAAGGCCCUGCUUUUGUGGGGUGCUCGAGUGGCGAACGGGUGAGUAACACGUGAGUAACCUGCCCUUGACUUUGGGAUAACUUCAGGAAACUGGGGCUAAUACCUGAUAGGAGCUCCUGCUGCAUGGUGGGGGUUGGAAAGUUUCGGCGGUUGGGGAUGGACUCGCGGCUUAUCAGCUUGUUGGUGGGGUAGUGGCUUACCAAGGGUUUGACGGGUAGCCGGCCUGAGAGGGUGACCGGCCACAUUGGGACUGAGAUACGGCCCAGACUCCUACGGGAGGGAGCAGUGGGGAAUAUUGCAAAAUGGGCGGAAGCCUGAUGCAGAAACGACGCGUGCGGGAUGACGGCCUUCGGGUUGUAAACCGAGUUCGCCUGUGACGAAGAGUGAGUGACGGUAAUGGGUAAAGAAGCACCGGCUAACUACGUG